Molecule: unclassified non-coding RNA, 2530 nt
Filed under: Penaeus monodon (black tiger shrimp)
Lineage: Eukaryota; Metazoa; Arthropoda; Malacostraca; Decapoda; Penaeidae
Description: thymidine phosphorylase-like, transcript variant X1
Source: RNAcentral
CCGAUCCUAGAUUGACGCGCUGGUUGGCAUAGCUUGGAUCACUCUCUGUGCGUCUGUCUGCGGAAUAUUUAGUUUGUGGGUGCCCACCCGAGUACGAUUCGCCGCACAACCCGUCAGUAAGGAACGACGGCCACCAUGAGCGCUGCACAGACCUCUCAAGGCAGCUGGAGGAUUCCGGACCUUCUGGCCAUGAAGCGCGAUGGCCUGGCCUAUUCGGAGGACCAGAUCGCCUUCUUGGUCCGGUCGGUCUCGGAUCGGUCCAUGGACGACUGUCAGCUGGGGGCGCUCCUGAUGGCCAUCAAGCUGCAGGAUAUGACGGACGCAGAGACGAUCGCCCUCACUAAGGGCAUGAGGGACUCAGGAAGCGUGUUCUCGUGGCCGAAGGACUGGCGCGUCGUGGACAAGCACAGCACGGGCGGCGUGGGUGACAAGGUGUCCCUGGCGCUGGCCCCCGCCCUCGCCGCCUGCGGCUUCAAGGUGCCCAUGAUCAGCGGGCGCGGCCUCGAGCACACGGGGGGCACGCUCGACAAGCUGGAGAGCAUCCCAGGCUUCAAGGUGUCUCUGACGGAGGCCGAGAUGAAGACGGCGCUGGAGGAGGUCGGCUGCUGUAUCGUAGGCCAGACCGCCGACAUCGUACCUGCUGACAGACGCAUGUACGCCGCAAGAGACGUCACUUCAACCGUCAAAUCUGUGCCGCUCAUCGUCUCGUCCAUCAUCAGCAAGAAGGCUGCGGAGACCGUGAGCGGGCUGGUGCUCGACGUCAAGUUCGGCGGAGGAGCCUUCAUGAAGACCCAGGAGGAGGCAGGGGCGCUGGCCAAGAAAAUGGUGGAUGUGGCCAACGGCGUGGGCAUGGCCACGACGGCCCUCCUGACCACGAUGGAUAUCCCGCUCGGCAGGGCCAUCGGCAACGCCCUCGAGGUGCGGGAGUCGCUGGAGUGUCUUCGGGGCAACGGACCGGAGGACCUUGAGGAGCUCGUAACGCACCUGGGCGGAGAAUUACUGCUGGGUGCGGGAGCGGCCUCUACGCUGGAUGAAGCUCGCCAGAAGCUGGCCAAGGCUCUGAGGGAUGGCAGUGCCAGAACGGCUUUCUGCAAUAUGAUACAGAAGCAGGGUGUCACCAAGAGUGUAGCAGAGGCACUGUGCGGCAAUGUUCCCGACUACUCCCAUCUACCUUCCUCGGCUCAUGUCACUGCCGUCAAAGCUGCUUCCUCAGGAGUGCUAGUUGGUAUGGAUGCCAUGACUAUGGCGAAGAUCAGUUUAGAACUCGGGGCUGGCAGGAACAAGGUCGGCGACCCGAUCAACUACAGCGUGGGCAUAAUGCUCGUUAAGGUGGUCGGCGAGAGCGUGAAGGAAGGCGAGACGUGGGCAGAGCUGCAUCACGAUUCCUCACUGCCACCCACCCUCCUACAGAGGAUGCAGGGAGCCGUCACCAUCAAGGCGUCGGCGGAAGCAUGCAAGCCCUCGCGCGUUGCCGCUCGCGUUGUCUAGGUGCUCGAAACCCUCAGUUGCAGAGGCCAAUAUCCAGCUCGCACUGUCAGUCUCCUAACUUGAGAUCUAGUAUCCAUGCAAAAUACUUUAUGUUGCACAAAUUAUGUUAGGGCCUGUUCGCAUGAGCGGACAUAAUCGGACGUUGCGGACAGGUCUUUAACCGUUUGAACCUUCUACUUUUUUAUUUUCUAAUUAUAUGGGAAACUGGAGACUUGGCUCUCUUCCGGGUUCAUCGUCAUACUAGUCACUGACCCCAAAUAUACUAGUACAUGGGGAAGGGGACUGUUAUUUUCACGUGGCACAAUCUUCACAUCGCCAGUUCUUUCUCCCAAAACCAUAUUCAUCGUCAAAUAGAAAGUAUACCUAUAGAUACUUAUAUUCGGUGCAUAUAUGCCAGUUGCUCUUCCCAGUAUAUAACUGUAACCAUCAUUAACUAUUCCAGGUACCUGCUGGCGCUCAUCAGGAUUUUUUCUUUACGAAACUAACUUAAUUGCGUUGUUGUUGUUUUUUUUUUUGGUUCACAAGAAUUAUUUAAUGUGUUAGUUUUUUGGUUCACAAGAAUUAUUUGAUUUUGUUAUGUAAAUCAGCCGGUGUGUUAAUCGGUCUGCAGUUAAUACGAUUGUUCUGAUUCUGGCUUCCAGUCACUGUGGUUCUCUUUAUGAUUUCAGCUUACUACUUCAUAACAAUCUUCUACAUAGUGAUUUCUGAUAUUUUUUAUGUUUGCACAAGCUAUUUAAUUAGAUGGUAUGAAAUUACACAUGACCUGCAUAUUAGUCAUCUAUUGGCUGACCUAACCGAUUCAUUCCACUCCUUGAAAGGGAAAUAACUCAUUCUGUACAACUCUUUACUAUGCAACUGGCCAACGUCAUCCUCACAUUCCAGUCUAUGUAGAUUUAACAAGAAAUUAUUUUUGUGAUUGAAAUAUUUUUUGUUGAGUUUUACUAUUGUGUUGUAAUGGGAAAUUAAUAGUUUUUGUAUGAUAUUGAAAUUUACACAAUGUCUCUUUCCUUGUUCAUGAAAAUAAAACUAUUGCAGUGCUAUA